This 503-nucleotide ribosomal RNA is filed under the name uncultured bacterium. RNAcentral describes it as "SSU rRNA". It matches the Rfam family "Bacterial small subunit ribosomal RNA", at positions 26 to 518 of the family's 1533-position model. The record is from RNAcentral.
AGGACGAACGCUGGCGGCGCGCUUAACACAUGCAAGUCGAGCGAGAACCCACCUUCGGGUGGGGGAAAGCGGCGAACGGGUGAGUAACACGUGGGCAACCCACCCUUGGUAUCGGGAUAGCCCGGGGAAACCCGGAUUAAUACCGGAUGGCCCAGCAGCUCUUCGGGGCGGCUGGAAAAGGUAGCUUCGGCCUCCGACCAAGGACGGGCCCGCGGCGGAUUAGCUUGUUGGUGGGGUAAUGGCCUACCAAGGCGACGAUCCGUAGCUGGUCUGAGAGGACGAUCAGCCACACUGGGACUGAGACACGGCCCAGACUCCUACGGGAGGCAGCAGUGGGGAAUCUUGCGCAAUGGGCGAAAGCCUGACGCAGCGACGCCGCGUGGGGGAAGAAGGCUUUCGGGUUGUAAACCCCUUUCAGGUGGGACGAAGCCACUCGGGUUAAUAGCCCAGAGGGUGACGGUACCGCCAGAAGAAGCCCCGGCUAACUACGCGCCAGCAGCCGC